Molecule: long non-coding RNA, 311 nt
Organism: Cydia strobilella
Lineage: Eukaryota; Metazoa; Arthropoda; Insecta; Lepidoptera; Tortricidae
Exons: 3
Source: RefSeq, a predicted model, not a curated record
GGCCUAGUGGGUAGUGACCCUGCCUGUGAAGCCGAUGGUCCUGGGUUCGAAUCCCGGUAAGGGCAUUUAUUUGUGUGAUGAGCACAGAUAUUUGCUCCUGAGUCAUGGGUGUUUUCUAUGUAUUUAAGUAUUUAUAUAUUAUAUAUAUCUGAGGUAGUGAGUAGUGACCCUGCCUACGAAGCCGAUGGUCCCGGGUUCGAAUCCCGGUAAGGGCAUUUAUUUGCGUGAUGAGCAAAGAUGUUCCUGAGUCAUGGGUGUUUUCUAUGUAUAUAAGUAUACACAAGUAUUUAUAUAUUAUAUAUAUCGUUGUC